AGAAAAUUCAAAUGAAGCCUACAAGGGUAAUGAUAAUUCAGAUGGCAUGGAGCGGGGAAAAGCAUGUGAAGUUAACAUUACAACCCUUGGCACUUGUCACAUCGGUACAGAUAACAUUCUCUCUUCUGCCAAUGCUAUGUUUUUCUGUUCUGUUUUCAGGCAUUCAUGACAUUGAACAAUGGAUUCAUGGGUGGGUCCAUUUCUCAUGCUGGUAUUAUUUUUUAGCACUUCUCACAGCACAUUGACAACUGAGGAUUAUUGAGUUGCAUCAUCAAUUUAGGAUUUUCCAUGGGUUGUAAUAAUUAUAGAGAAGCUGCAAUCAUUGAAGAUGACGUGUUUGGUGAGGUUGACUUGAAUGGUUAAACAUGAAACCUGAUUGUUGUAAUAAUUACAGAGAAGCUGCAAUCAUUGAAGAUGACGUGUUUGGUGAGGUUGACAUGAAUGGUUAAACAUGAAACCUGGUAGAAGAUAAGGACUAGGAGCAUCUCCUUUACUACCAUACUAUACUGCGAAGCUAGCUAUUGUUUUUGUACUCAUCAACGCUGAUCCAUAACAGUAACCAGUCAGAUCUGCAGUUCAAAGUCUUUUCUCAACUUCCCUAUCAACGCUCAGUUCGGACGGUAUGAGGAUCCUUUCCUCAAUCCUUCUUUUCACACAGAAUAUCAGAGGAGUAGGAAAAGGAAAAAUGAAUCUGAAUUAUCCCAUGACAAUAGGAUGGAGUGACUCAUAAGUGUAUUAGAAAUUGUGCAGUGCUCCAUGAAUAAGAAAUAAAUUUUGUUCAUACUUUUUGAUUUAAUAGUUGAAGUAAUGCAAUUUCAAAAGCAAUUUCAGUUAGGUUUGUAAACAAUUGUUGGUCAUGUCUCCAACUUUAGGAUCUGAUCUUUGUUGGGUUGAUGGGCCAACUGAGGAAGUUGUUAAACUGUCUGAUUUAGAAGACCUUCCUUUGUUUAACCACUGCAAUAAACUGUAAUAUCUUUUACGCUGCAGUGUAUAAAAUUUGGUUUUUGAUUCAU
Long non-coding RNA from Cryptomeria japonica (Japanese cedar), 1013 nucleotides. RefSeq lists it as uncharacterized. The transcript is spliced from 5 exons. The record is from RefSeq and is a predicted model, not a curated record. Lineage: Eukaryota; Viridiplantae; Streptophyta; Pinopsida; Cupressales; Cupressaceae.